CUACGCACUCCUACGGGAGGCAGCAGUGGGGAAUAUUGCACAAUGGGCGCAAGCCUGAUGCAGCCAUGCCGCGUGUAUGAAGAAAGCCUUCGGGUUGUAAAGUACUUUCAGCAGUGAGGAAGGUGGGUAUGUUAAUAGCAUAUUCAUUUGACGUUAGCUGCAGAAGAAGCACCGGCUAACUCCGUGCCAGCAGCCGCGGUAAUACGGAGGGUGCGAGCGUUAAUCGGAAUUACUGGGCGUAAAGCGCAUGCAGGUGGUUUGUUUAAGUCAGAUGUGAAAGCCCGGGGCUCAACCUCGGAAUUGCAUUUGAAACUGGCAAACUAGAGUACUGUAGAGGGGGUAGAAUUUCAGGUGUAGCGGUGAAAUGCGUAGAGAUCUGAAGGAAUACCGGUGGCGAAGGCGGCCCCCUGGACAGAUACUGACACUCAGAUGCGAAAGCGUGGGGAGCAAACAGGAUUAGAUACCCCUGGUAG
Molecule: ribosomal RNA, 473 nt
Filed under: uncultured bacterium
Lineage: Bacteria
Description: bacterial SSU rRNA
Rfam family: Bacterial small subunit ribosomal RNA
Source: RNAcentral